AGAUUGAACGCUGGCGGCAGGCCUAACACAUGCAAGUCGAGCGGUAGAGAGGUGCUUGCACCUCUUGAGAGCGGCGGACGGGUGAGUAAUGCCUAGGAAUCUGCCUAGUGGUGGGGGAUAACGUUCGGAAACGGACGCUAAUACCGCAUACGUCCUACGGGAGAAAGCGGGGGACCUUCGGGCCUCGCGCCAUUAGAUGAGCCCAGGUCGGAUUAGCUAGUUGGUGAGGUAAUGGCUCACCAAGGCGACGAUCCGUAACUGGUCUGAGAGGAUGAUCAGUCACACUGGAACUGAGACACGGUCCAGACUCCUACGGGAGCAGCAGUGGGAAUAGUUGACAAUGGGACGAAAGCCUGAAUCCAGCCAUGCCGCGUGUGUGAAGAAGGUCUUACGGAUUUGUAAAGCUACGUUUAAGUUGGGAGGUAAGGGUUUAUAACGUUAAUACGUUGACUAACGUUUGACGUUACCGACGAGAAUAGGACACCGGCUAACUUCGAGUCCAGCAGCCG
RNAcentral lists this ribosomal RNA (509 nucleotides) under uncultured soil bacterium. RNAcentral's name for it is "bacterial SSU rRNA". It matches the Rfam family "Bacterial small subunit ribosomal RNA", at positions 26 to 517 of the family's 1533-position model. The record is from RNAcentral.